GACGAACGCUGGCGGCGUGCUUAACACAUGCAAGUCGAACGGAAAGGCCUGCUUUCCCUUGUGGAUUGCGGGUACUCGAGUGGCGAACGGGUGAGUAACACGUGAGUGAUCUGCCCCCAACUUGGGUAUAAGCCUGGGAAACUGGGUCUAAUUCCCGAUAGGACUGCAGGGUGGUGCCUGUGGUGGAAAACGAUUUUCUAGUGGUUGGGGAUGAGCUCGCGGCCUAUCAGCUUGUUGGUGGGGUAAUGGCCUACCAAGGCGGCGACGGGUAGCCGGCCUGAGAGGGUGGACGGCCACAGUGGGACUGAGAUACGGCCCAGACUCCUACGGGAGGCAGCAGUGGGGAAUAAGGCACAAUGGGCGGAAGCCUGAUGCAGCGACGCCGCGUGGGGGAUGACGGCCUUCGGGUUGUAAACUCCUUUCGACCGCGAGGAAGCCACCUGGUUGGAAGGGUGGUGACGGUAGUGGUAGAAGAAGCACCGGCUAACUACGUG
This 494-nucleotide ribosomal RNA is filed under the name uncultured bacterium. Its description in RNAcentral is "partial 16S ribosomal RNA". It matches the Rfam family "Bacterial small subunit ribosomal RNA", at positions 28 to 507 of the family's 1533-position model. The record is from RNAcentral.